Molecule: ribosomal RNA, 1014 nt
Filed under: uncultured bacterium
Lineage: Bacteria
Description: bacterial SSU rRNA
Rfam family: Bacterial small subunit ribosomal RNA
Source: RNAcentral
AGAGUUUGAUCAUGGCUCAGGAUGAACGCUGGCGGCGUGCCUAACACAUGCAAGUCGAACGGUGGUAGUAAUAUCACAGUGGCGCACGGGUGAGUAACACGUAGCUAAUCUGCCCUCCAGCGCGGGAUAACGUUCCGAAAGGGAUGCUAAUACCGCAUAAGCUCACGCGAUGUAGAGGCGAGUGAGAAAAGGGGCAACCCACUGGAAGAGGAGGCUGCGGCCCAUCAGGUAGUUGGUGAGGUAACGGCUCACCAAGCCGACGACGGGUAGGGGGUCUGAGAGGAUGAUCCCCCACACUGGGACUGAGACACGGCCCAGACUCCUACGGGAGGCAGCAGUGAGGGAUAUUGGUCAAUGGGCGAAAGCCUGAACCAGCGACGCCGCGUGGGUGAAGAAGGCCUUCGGGUCGUAAAGCCCUUUUGGGGGUGACGAGACAAGGACGGUAGCCCCAGAAUAAGUCUCGGCUAACUACGUGCCAGCAGCCGCGGUAAAACGUAGGAGGCAAGCGUUAUCCGGAGUUACUGGGCGUAAAGCGCGUGUAGGCGGCUCGGUAAGUGGGUCGUGAAAGCGCCCGGCUAAACUGGGCGAGGACGAUCGAGACUGCCGGGCUAGAGGGUGGUAGAGGGACAGGGAAUUCCGGGUGUAGCGGUGAAAUGUGUAGAGAUCCGGAGGAACACCAGUGGCGAAGGCGCUGUCCUGGGCCACCACUGACGCUGAUACGCGAAGGCGUGGGGAGCGAACGGGAUUAGAGACCCCGGUAGUCCACGCGGUAAACGAUGCAGACUGGGUGUUCACUUUCCUAACGGGAAGGGAGUGCCGAAGCCAACGCGGUAAGUCUGCCGCCUGGGGAGUACGGUCGCAAGGCUAAAACUCAAAGGAAUUGACGGGGGCCCGCACAAGCAGCGGAGCGUGUGGUUUAAUUCGAGGCUACACGAGAUCUUACUCAGGUUUGACAUGCGGUGGUAGGGAGCGAAAGCGGACCGACCGCAAGGAGCCCGCACAAGGUGCUGCAUG